GACGAACGCUGGCGGCGCGCCUAACACAUGCAAGUCGAACGAGCGAGAGAGAGCCUGCUUUCUCGAGCGAGUGGCGAACGGGUGAGUAACGCGUGAGGAGCCUGCCUCAAAGAGGGGGACAACAGUUGGAAACGACUGCUAAUACCGCAUAAGCCCACAGCUCGGCAUCGAGCAGAGGGAAAAGGAGUGAUCCGCUUUGAGAUGGCCUCGCGUCCGAUUAGCUAGUUGGUGAGGUAACGGCCCACCAAGGCGACGAUCGGUAGCCGGACUGAGAGGUUGAACGGCCACAUUGGGACUGAGACACGGCCCAGACUCCUACGGGAGGCAGCAGUGGGGAAUAUUGCACAAUGGGGGAAACCCUGAUGCAGCGACGCCGCGUGGAGGAAGAAGGUCUUCGGAUUGUAAACUCCUGUUGUUGAGGAAGGUAAUGACGGUACUCAACAAGGAAGUGACGGCUAACUACGUGCCAGCAGCCGCGGUAA
RNAcentral lists this ribosomal RNA (482 nucleotides) under uncultured bacterium. RNAcentral describes it as "partial 16S ribosomal RNA". It matches the Rfam family "Bacterial small subunit ribosomal RNA", at positions 28 to 523 of the family's 1533-position model. The record is from RNAcentral.